UAGGGAAUCUUCCACAAUGGACGAAAGUCUGAUGGAGCAACGCCGCGUGAGUGAAGAAGGGUUUCGGCUCGUAAAGCUCUGUUGGUAGUGAAGAAAGAUAGAGGUAGUAACUGGCCUUUAUUUGACGGUAAUUACUUAGAAAGUCACGGCUAACUAUGUGCC
Molecule: ribosomal RNA, 162 nt
Filed under: uncultured bacterium
Lineage: Bacteria
Description: partial 16S ribosomal RNA
Rfam family: Bacterial small subunit ribosomal RNA
Source: RNAcentral